GACGAACGCUGGCGGCGUGCUUAACACAUGCAAGUCGAACGGAAAGGCCUGCUUUCCCUUGUGGAUUGCGGGUACUCGAGUGGCGAACGGGUGAGUAACACGUGAGUGAUCUGCCCCCAACUUGGGUAUAAGCCUGGGAAACUGGGUCUAAUUCCCGAUAGGACUGCAGGGUGGUGCCCGUGGUGGAAAACGAUUUUCUAGUGGUUGGGGAUGAGCUCGCGGCCUAUCAGCUUGUUGGUGGGGUAAUGGCCUACCAAGGCGGCGACGGGUAGCCGGCCUGGGAGGGUGGACGGCCACAGUGGGACUGAGAUACGGCCCAGACUCCUACGGGAGGCAGCAGUGGGGAAUAUUGCACAAUGGGCGGAAGCCUGAUGCAGCGACGCCGCGUGGGGGAUGACGGCCUUCGGGUUGUAAACUCCUUUCGACCGCGAGGAAGCCACCUGGUUGGAAGGGUGGUGACGGUAGUGGUAGAAGAAGCACCGGCUAACUACGUG
Molecule: ribosomal RNA, 494 nt
Filed under: uncultured bacterium
Lineage: Bacteria
Description: partial 16S ribosomal RNA
Rfam family: Bacterial small subunit ribosomal RNA
Source: RNAcentral